AUAUCUCUCUGUACGGGAAGGAUGAGAAGCUUCGACUAAGGUUCGAUUCGAGCGCAGCGAGAACGCGUUGCCGCAGGCAACGACC
RNAcentral lists this small RNA (85 nucleotides) under Salmonella enterica subsp. enterica serovar Typhimurium. RNAcentral's name for it is "partial RtT sRNA". It matches the Rfam family "RtT RNA", at positions 1 to 84 of the family's 130-position model. Rfam says of the family: This family represents a bacterial cis-regulatory element known as RtT RNA. The exact function of RtT is unknown although it is thought that it may be involved in changing the cellular response in relation to amino acid starvation. The record is from RNAcentral. Lineage: Bacteria; Pseudomonadati; Pseudomonadota; Gammaproteobacteria; Enterobacterales; Enterobacteriaceae.